This 69-nucleotide transfer RNA is filed under the name Desmophyllum pertusum. Its description in RNAcentral is "Lophelia pertusa tRNA". It matches the Rfam family "tRNA". From Rfam's summary of the family: Transfer RNA (tRNA) molecules are approximately 80 nucleotides in length. Their secondary structure includes four short double-helical elements and three loops (D, anti-codon, and T loops). The record is from Rfam by way of RNAcentral. Lineage: Eukaryota; Metazoa; Cnidaria; Anthozoa; Scleractinia; Caryophylliidae.
GGCUUCAUAGCUUAGUGGCAGAGCAUUUGCACCGGAAUCGCAACAUGGGUUCGAAUCCCGUUGAAGCCA